This 73-nucleotide transfer RNA is filed under the name Apaloderma vittatum (bar-tailed trogon). It matches the Rfam family "tRNA". From Rfam's summary of the family: Transfer RNA (tRNA) molecules are approximately 80 nucleotides in length. Their secondary structure includes four short double-helical elements and three loops (D, anti-codon, and T loops). The record is from Rfam by way of RNAcentral. Lineage: Eukaryota; Metazoa; Chordata; Aves; Trogoniformes; Trogonidae.
GGCUGGUUAGCUCAGUUGGUUAGAGCGUGGUGCUGAUAACACCAAGGUCGCGGGUUCGAUCCCCAUUCGGUCC